Molecule: long non-coding RNA, 551 nt
Filed under: Mustela putorius furo (domestic ferret)
Lineage: Eukaryota; Metazoa; Chordata; Mammalia; Carnivora; Mustelidae
Description: lncRNA (ENSMPUG00000026475.1)
Source: RNAcentral
AGAUCCUGGCCUCAGAUCUGGAGGCAGAAGCUGCAUGUGACUAGUGAUUUUGAGGCGGUCUGUGGAUUAUGUUCAUGGGGCGUUUGGGAUUGUCUGUCUGAGAAGACAGGUAUGUAUGCUGAGCAGCUACAGGGUUGGCUGGGUGAACAUGAUCAUUUCUGUUUCACCAACAUUCCUCACUUGAGAAGACCUUAUAUUUACAGGCCAGGCCUUGAGGUGGCAUACACCACUUCUGCCCCAGUUCUGCGGCUUGAACUCAGGCCUGGGACCACGCCCACCCGGGUGGGAGGCCGGACAGUGGACUCCAGUUGUGUUCCCAGGAAGAAGAGGAAAGAAGCUGCCUACAUCAUAGCUGCUGUUACAGUCGAAGGAAGGCUAAAGAAACACGACAACUAAACAUGAUGUAUUGUGGAUGGGAUUUGGGAACAGAAGGAGGACAUCAGGCAAAAGCCUAAGGAAAUCUAAAUAAAUCAUGGACUUUGGUUAAUGGUAAGGUAUCCAUAUCGAUUUGCUAAUUGUAACAAAUAGACUACACUGCUGUAAGAUCACAA